UACGGAGGGGGCGAGCGUUAUUCGGAAUUAUUGGGCGUAAAGGGCGCGUAGGCGGUUUGACAAGUCUGAUGUGAAAUCUAUGGGCUCAACCCAUAGCCUGCAUUAGAAACUGUCGGGCUUGAGUAUGGGAGAGGUGAGUGGAAUUUCCGGUGUAGCGGCGAAAUGCGUAGAUAUCGGAAGGAACACCUGUGGCGAAAGCGGCUCACUGGACCAUAACUGACGCUGAGGCGCGAAAGCUAGGGGAGCAAACAGG
This 253-nucleotide ribosomal RNA is filed under the name uncultured bacterium. RNAcentral's name for it is "partial 16S ribosomal RNA". It matches the Rfam family "Bacterial small subunit ribosomal RNA", at positions 524 to 776 of the family's 1533-position model. The record is from RNAcentral.